Molecule: ribosomal RNA, 231 nt
Filed under: Streptomyces sp. SID4946
Lineage: Bacteria; Bacillati; Actinomycetota; Actinomycetes; Kitasatosporales; Streptomycetaceae
Description: partial 23S ribosomal RNA
Rfam family: Bacterial large subunit ribosomal RNA
Source: RNAcentral
CUCUCGUAUAAGGGUGAGACCUGAUGCCGAGCCGAUUGUGGUGAAGUGGAUGAUCCUAUGCUGUCGAGAAAAGCCUCUAGCGAGUUUCAUGGCGGCCCGUACCCUAAACCGACUCAGGUGGUCAGGUAGAGAAUACCGAGGCGUUCGGGUGAACUAUGGUUAAGGAACUCGGCAAAAUGCCCCCGUAACUUCGGAGAAGGGGGCCACACCUGGUGAGAACACUUGCUGUUC